GACGAACGCUGGCGGCGUGCUUAACACAUGCAAGUCGAACGGAAAGGCCCUGCUUUUGUGGGGUGCUCGAGUGGCGAACGGGUGAGUAACACGUGAGUAACCUGCCCUUGACUUUGGGAUAACUUCAGGAAACUGGGGCUAAUACCGGCUAGGAGCUCCUGCUGCAUGGUGGGGGUUGGAAAGUUUCGGCGGUUGGGGAUGGACUCGCGGCUUAUCAGCUUGUUGGUGGGGUAGUGGCUUACCAAGGCUUUGACGGGUAGCCGGCCUGAGAGGGUGACCGGCCACAUUGGGACUGAGAGACGGCCCAGACGCCUACGGGAGGCAGCAGGGGGGAAUAUUGCACAAUGGGCGGAAGCCUGAUGCAGCAACGCCGCGUGCGGGAUGACGGCCUUCGGGUUGUAAACCGCUUUCGCCUGUGACGAAGCGUGAGUGACGGUAAUGGGUAAAGAAGCACCGGCUAACUACGUG
Molecule: ribosomal RNA, 468 nt
Filed under: uncultured bacterium
Lineage: Bacteria
Description: partial 16S ribosomal RNA
Rfam family: Bacterial small subunit ribosomal RNA
Source: RNAcentral